This 253-nucleotide ribosomal RNA is filed under the name uncultured bacterium. Its description in RNAcentral is "partial 16S ribosomal RNA". It matches the Rfam family "Bacterial small subunit ribosomal RNA", at positions 524 to 776 of the family's 1533-position model. The record is from RNAcentral.
UACGUAGGGUGCAAGCGUUGUCCGGAAUUAUUGGGCGUAAAGAGCUCGUAGGCGGUCUGUCACGUCGGCUGUGAAAACCCGAGGCUCAACCUCGGGCCUGCAGUCGAUACGGGCAGACUAGAGUUCGGUAGGGGAGACUGGAAUUCCUGGUGUAGCGGUGAAAUGCGCAGAUAUCAGGAGGAACACCGGUGGCGAAGGCGGGUCUCUGGGCCGAAACUGACGCUGAGGUGCGAAAGCGUGGGGAGCAAACAGG